RNAcentral lists this ribosomal RNA (924 nucleotides) under Triticum aestivum (bread wheat). Its description in RNAcentral is "partial small subunit ribosomal RNA". The record is from RNAcentral. Lineage: Eukaryota; Viridiplantae; Streptophyta; Magnoliopsida; Poales; Poaceae.
AUGGCAUUCCUCAUCACGGUGCGCGCCAAAAAGAAGAAGAAGCUGAAACGAAACGAGCAUCGCACAUCUGAGCGCAUGCAUCGCGGCCGAUCGAGAUUUCGCGGGAACGUGGGCGUGGGGGCGAGCAGAACAGAGCGUGAACAGAGGAGUCUGGCGUCGCGGGUCGACGGGUUGGUUCACAGGAACCUCGGGCCGGCCGAGGUGGUGGCCGCCGCCGUGGACACCAUCAUCAUGCGCGCGAAGUCCUGGAAGCCGACGAAGCCGUCGCCGUCGGCGUCGACGCCGCCGAUCAUGCGGCGGCAGUCGUCGAGGCUGCACCCGUCGGCCUCGCCGCCGAGGAUGGCGAGCAGCACGCCGCGGAGCUCCUCGGCAGUGAUGCGGCCGUCGCCGUCGGCGUCGAACACGUUGAACGCCUCCAUCAGCUCGUCCUCGGGGCCGGCCUCCCCGGCGGCCGCGAUGGCCGCCACGGCGUCCAGCUCGUCGUCCGACGGCUCCUCGUGGCCCAGCCGCCGGAGCACGGCCUCCAGCUCCCGCCGCGAGAUCUCCACGGGGAGCACCGACCGCGGCGUGGACGCCCGCGGCAGCGCGUCCUCGGAGGACGACGAGGUGGACGAGGACGAGGCGGACGCGAACGACGGCGCCUCGCUCCGGGAGAUGCCGCGCUUGCCGCUGCCGUCCUGCUGCUGCUGCUUCUUGCCCCGCUUGGGCGACGGGAUGGAGAGCUUCCGGGCCAGCGACUGCAUGGAGAGCUUCAUCUUCGAGCAGAGGAAACAAUCGGGAGGAGAGAAGCUACUCAAAGGAGAUGAAUGCGGAUGGGAUUGUAGCAGGAAAGAUGGAUGGAUUGAUGGGGAUGUGUGGGGUGGGUGGAGGCGGAGGGGGGAGGCGGCGAUAAAUAGGGGAGGCGGAGGGGGGAGGCGGCGAUAA